AUCCUACGGGGGGCAGCAGUAGGGAAUCUUCCACAAUGGACGAAAGUCUGAUGGAGCAACGCCGCGUGAGUGAAGAAGGGUUUCGGCUCGUAAAGCUCUGUUGGUAGUGAAGAAAGAUAGAGGUAGUAACUGGCCUUUAUUUGACGGUAAUUACUUAGAAAGUCACGGCUAACUACGUGCCAGCAGCCGCGGUAAUACGUAGGUGGCAAGCGUUGUCCGGAUUUAUUGGGCGUAAAGCGAGUGCAGGCGGUUCUAUAAAUCUGGUGUGUAAGCCCUCUGCUCCACCCG
This 288-nucleotide ribosomal RNA is filed under the name uncultured bacterium. RNAcentral's name for it is "partial 16S ribosomal RNA". It matches the Rfam family "Bacterial small subunit ribosomal RNA", at positions 335 to 616 of the family's 1533-position model. The record is from RNAcentral.